Molecule: unclassified non-coding RNA, 726 nt
Filed under: Hevea brasiliensis (rubber tree)
Lineage: Eukaryota; Viridiplantae; Streptophyta; Magnoliopsida; Malpighiales; Euphorbiaceae
Source: RNAcentral
UGCAAGUAUGCCUGGCAUGACCAUUUCAACGCGUUGUAGGAAGUGAAAGGAUAUGGUUACUACAAAUUGGAAAAGCUGGGCUUUAACAUGCUUAUUGCUGGACCAGUUCUAUGGGUGCUUGUAUCAAUCCACAACUCGUGUCAAAUAUACGACAGCUGAUGGGCAUGUCCAAAUGUUGCGAGCGAGUGUUCAUAUCCUUUUUUAAUGGGUAGUUUGUUGUUCUUGAUUGGUGCCAUGCUUAAUAGCCAGGAUCAAGCUGGGCUGGACCAUCAUGGGGUACUGCUAUUGGGAAGAAACUUGGUGUUGAUGGGCAUCUUUGGAAGUGUCUUACUAUUAAUUGGGGGAUUAACAAAUGUGGUAAAGUGUCCAAGAUGCGGCAAAUUGAUGGACUGCGCCUGAAGAAACUGCGAGGAGGGGCUCAGGGACGUUUAAUGCAUCAGAAAGAAGGGCAGCUGCCGCUUAUUGCAGAAGAACAAUGGAGGAGGCAAAGGGUAAUCGAGGAAACAAAAGCUGUACCUUUUCGUGUUCCAGUUCCAGUUCCAACUUCUUACAAGGAUGUGCUUCUCGGUCAGACUUGAUUGCUUCGCUCAUCUACGAGUGAUCAUCACCGGUCUUCUCUGGUCACUUUGGUGCUAUGUGGCCAUCUCUGAUUUUGCUUCUCUCCUGUUACUCACGAGUUUAGAUAUGAUUGAUAUUCUUGUUUAUCGAGGACAUGUAAGAUUUUGG